This 9605-nucleotide long non-coding RNA is filed under the name Homo sapiens (human). RNAcentral's name for it is "HSALNT0157503". Lineage: Eukaryota; Metazoa; Chordata; Mammalia; Primates; Hominidae. The record is from RNAcentral.
GGAUGAAAAACACACCCCCUGUGAAUUUUUUCCAGGUUGGGAAGAUGUCAUGGAGUAGAAGCGUUCUUAAUUUCCUUGCAUCAAAUUUCAAACCAAAAUAUGCAGAUGAACACGAAUAAAAUAAGAACUAAAGCGGCUACUUUCCAAAUUAGUAUAGGAGAAAUAGUUAAGAAGAUUUAAUAAAUAAAUCCAAAAGGAGAGCAGAAAGCCACUGGGCCGAUGCAGUGGCUCAUGCCUGUAAUCCCAGCACUUUGGGAUACCGAGGCAGGUGGCUCACCUGAGGUCAGGAGUUCGAGACCAGCCUGGGCAACACGGUGAAACCUUGUCUCUACUAAAAAUAUAAAAAUUAGCCAGUUGUGGUGGCGCACACCUGUAAUCCCAGCUACUCAUGAGGCUGAGGCAGGAGAAUUGCUUGAACCGGGGAGGCAGAGGUUGUUGUGAGCUGAGAUCAUGCCACUGCAUUCUGGCCAGGGUGGCAGAGAGAGACUCCAUCUCAAAAAAAGAAAAGAAAAGAGUCGUGCGAGAUGCUGAACCUGUGAUGUAACUAGAAAUAAAACAGUGAAGGUGAAUCCAGGUCCUUAGGAGUAGAGGGCAGGCCAACGUAUGUGUUGUCACCAGAGGUGACUGAAAUCCAAGAAGGGAAGGCAGGAGGUCAGGGUCUGGAGUAACACCUCUGCUGAAAGGGCCAAGGGCAUUUUGUGGCCUUUUUAAUAUCUCAAAAAGAGACUUCAAGGCAGAACCUUGGCUAGGGUUAAAAGAGCUCUCACAUGGUAAGAGUUUGAGUUCUUCAGAAAACCUAACAGUUAUUGACUCCUGGGCUUUUAACACAGCCUUGGAACAGAAAUACCUAGAAUUGACAAGAUAAUUAUGCUUAACUGUAUGAAACUGGAGAUAUCCAAUGCUUUUGACCUCCAGGAACAGUAAUUACAUAUGGCUCAACCUACUGUUAAUAAAAAUAGACAAGUCUAACAUCAUGAAAUAUUUAACACAAAUUUUUCUAUAAGUAGAUCAAGAAGAAAAUAAAACAAUAGACAGUUGAUUGGAAAAAGAGCAAACAAAAACAUUCCCAAAGAUCCUACACAAUGUGAUUUCAUUACAUGAUAUGAAGAAUAUGAGUAGCUACACACUGAAUUGCUUAGGAAAAUAGAUGUGCAUAGUAAAACUAGAGGAGAAAACCAGAGAACAACCAACACAAGAGUGGGAAUUGGGGCUCCCAUUCAGGGAAGAGACGGUAGCAGGUGCAGAAGGAAAAGCCUACAAAGGAAAUUCCAUUUUUCCAGUUCUGUAUCCCUUAAGCCACACAGUGGGUACAGAGCCUCUGUGUGUCCUUUAUACACUGCCUACAUCAUGAAUAUUCAUUUGCAUCUAUUAAUAGUUUAAAAUAAUUUUUAAAUAAAAUUAUAUCAGUAAAUCAUAACAGCUCUACAUUUAAGGAAAAAUAUUUCCUUAAAUGUAAAUAUUCCUUAAUAAGGAAUGUAAACAUUCCUUAAAUGUAAAUAUUCCUUAAUAAGGAAUGUAAACAUUUCUUAAAUGUAAAUAUUCCUUAAUAAGGAAUGUAAACAUUCCUUAAAUGUAAAUAUUCCUUAAUAAGGAAUGUAAACAUUUCUUAAAUGUAAAUAUUCCUUAAUAAGGAAUGUAAACAUUCCUUAAAUGUAAAUAUUCCUUAAAUGUAAAUAUUUCCUUAAAGUUGAAAAUGGUGAUUUGUCAGCAUUUGAAAAAAAGAUUAGGAAGUUUCCUGCUGGUAACAGUCUGAUGUGUAGCUUUGCCUUAAAAAUGGAAAUUACAGAGCUAUCAUCAGGAAAGUUGCAAUAAAUAGGUUGGGCACGGUGGUUCAGCCUGUAAUCCCAGCACUUUGGGAGGCCAAGUGCUAAGAUCAGGGCAGAUCGCCUGAGGUCACGGGUUCAAAACCAACCUGGCCAACGUGGUGAAACCCUGUCCCCACUAAAAAUACAGAAAUUAGCCAGGUGUGGUGGCACAUGCCUGUAGUCCUGGAUAGUCAGGAGGCUGAGGCAGGAGAAUCGCUUGAACCUGGGAGGAGGAGGUUGCAGUCACCUGAGAUCAUGCCACUGCACUCCAGCCCAGGUGACAGAGCAAGACUCCAUCUCAAAAAAAAAAAAAAAAAAAAAAAAGACAAGUUGCAAUAAAUAUAUGUAGAGAAAUGUCUUCUUUAGAUGGGUAUACACACAGAUAGAUAGCUAGAUAGACAGACAGUUGCAUAGAUAAUUAGGUUCCUGACUAUAAAAGCACAUUAAGUAGAUAUUGCAAUAAAUGAAAAAAUGAGUAAUACAGAUUCCUAUAUUCCAUGGGUUUUUAGAUGAAUAGAAGACAUAAGAACAGAGUUUCUAGACUAAUAGAAGACAUAACACAAGAAUAUAAGACAGUAUGGUAAAUUCUGUAAAAGUGAUAUAAGCAAGAAUUAGAAGGUUCAGAGGUGGCAUAGAGUGAUUAGAGAAAUCAAAGCAGGCUUCGUGGAGGAGGUGGGCUUUGGAAUCCGGCGGAAGAGCAGGAGGGUGCAUUGAUUUGAAGUUCCCUUAAUUCUUUGUGGCACUCUUCUCCACUAGCCCGCAGCUCCUGAGAGCAGGAAGGACUGACUCCUGUUUUGUUCCUCUCUCUGACUAUAGGCAGCAGUGAGCCCCCCUGCCUCUGAUUGUCAUCUUUGGGGGCCAGAGAAGUGAGCAGCUAUCCUUCCCAGUCCCUGGUCCCUCCAAGCAGUGACAACAAAGAAUGGACCAGGCGAGGCAUUGUGUGUAGACACGUGAGACUUCUCAUCCAGGGUCAAGAGGAGAAGCAGCGGAUUAGGAGUGCCAUGACUUAAAGUUAACCUCUUUAGAGCAGAUGAGCCCUGCUUAUUCUAGGGCAUUCAGCUAUGUCUAAUCAAUCGCUCCUGUGCUUGGAAGAAUGGGAACACGACACAGUUUCCCCUUCUUCCUUGUUUAUCUCACUGUAGCGGUGAGAUAGACGAUGGUCACAUUGGUACCAUCACGGCGCUGCGGUCAUAGCAGUCCCUAUUUAUCCCACAGGUUCCCCUGAAUUCCGAGGCAUCCCACAUUUCACAUGAGCAAAUAGCCUUGACACCUGCCGCGUCUCCAGGACAAUAGGCAUUUCUGACCCACAUGAUCUGCACAAAGAAGAAAGCCUCUCUCUCUUUCUCACCACUGCAUCCCCAACUGAUGUGGACCGUGAUACAUAAUUGGAGUUAAAUAAAUAGUUGAGGUUGUCCUGGGGGUCGUGCCUUUUUAAGGCUAUGUGAUUAUGCCAAUUCAUAGAAAACAUGAGAUGAUUAAAAAGAGAAAUAAUUGGCCAGGCGCAGUGGCUCACACCUGUAACCCCAACAGUUUGGGAGGCCGAGGUGGGUGGAUCACCUGAGGUCAGGAGUUUGAGACCAGCCUGACCAAGAUGGUGAAACCAUGUCUCUUCUAAAAAUACAAACAUUAGGCUGGGCGUGGUGGCUCACACCUGUAAUCCCAGCACUUUGAGAGGCCAAGGCGGGCUGAUCACAAGGUCAGGAGAUCGAGACCAUACUGGCUAACACAGUGAAACCAUCUCUACUAAAAAAAAAUACAAAAAAAUUAGCUGGGCAUGGUGGCGGGCACCUGUAGUCCCAGCUGCUGGGGAGGCUGAGGCAGGAGAAUGGCAUGAACCCGGGAGAUGGUGCUUGCAGUGAGCCAAGAUCAUGCCACUGCACUCCAGCCUGGGCGACAGAGCAAGACUCCAUCUCAAAAAAAAAAAAAAAUACAAAAAUUAACCAGGCAUGGUGGCAGGCACCUGUAAUCCCAGCUACUUGGGAGGCUGAGGCAGAGAAUUGCUUGAACCUGGGAGGCGGAGGUUGCAGUGAGCCGAGAUUGCGCCACUGCACUCCAGCCUGGGCGACAGAGUGAGACUCUGUCUCAAAAAAAAAAAAAAAAAAAAAAAAAAAAGAAAGAAAAGAAAAGAAAAGAAAUAAUUGAAAAAAUCAAAACAGCAAGAAGGGCUGCCACAUAAGAAGAGGCUUAGAAGAUUUCCAAGGAAGGUUAAAAUCAAAGAAUAAUAGAGUUUAAAUCUGCACAAUCAUGAAGAAAAACUAUAAAAAACUACAAAUAAACUAUAGAUGGUCUCUCAUCUUACAGCUACAAAAUUAUAGAAAACAGAAAGAGAAAAGCUAAAGAAGAAAAUGUCACAGCUAAAAAUGGAAAUAUAUUUCCAAACAUUGUGAUUGUUUCAUGGGCACUUUAACCACAGUGAAUUAUUCAGGAGACUGAAAUGUUUGUGGUGGACCCCUGGGAAGCUCAGCAAGUAUUCCUUAGGUGCCCCCCAUGAAGUAAAAUACAUUUGGAGGCAAAUCGAGUUCCCAACAUGAUAAGAGUUUAAGUAACAGAAGACAGAGUGCCCUUCUCCCAGCAACCAGCUGUGGAUUUACUCGCAGAAUCUCUAAUACUAAAAUGACUGAGAGGAGUUGCCAGAGGCACAAAGCCCUGAUUUAAAAUCAGCAGAACCUUUGGGCUUUCAUUACUGCAGUGAUCCCAAGGUCAGAUUGUCUUUACUUUUGUAUUGUCAGUUUUCCAAGGUCAAAUACUUCAGCAUCUUUUCAACUGUUCCUUGAGCAAAUGUAAAAAUCAGGGCCGGGCGCGGUGGCUGAGGCCUGUAAUCUCAGCACUUUGGGAGGCUGAGGCAGGUGGAUCACGAGGUCAGGAGUUUGAGACCAGCCUGGCCAAUAUGGUGAAACCCCAUCUCUACUAAAACAAAUGCAAAAAUUAGCCGGGCGUGGUGGCAUGCACCUAUAGUCCCAGCUACUUGGGAGGCUGAGGCAGGAGAACUGCUGGAACCCGGGAGGCGGAGGUUGUAGUGAGCUGAGAUAACACCACUGCACUCCAGCCUGGGCAACAGAGUGAAACUCCAUCAAAAAAAAAAAUCAGGACAAUUUUUAUAAGGCAUUUCUUAUAGAGAUUUGCAGAAGACAGGGGACACAAAAGAAGCAAGCACCACUGGUCUUCUGGGCACAGAGAGAUGUGCCCCAUGGCUCCUGAUGCUCUCUAGGAGGGCCUUCCAAUGAACAGCGGGCCUGGGAGCAUUUGAGGGAAACAGCAGAAGCACUGACUCACUCCAAAGAUGAAGGGGGUGUCCUUCCUAACCCCGGAGUGGUGCCCCUCCCAACACUGGGUGAAGUGAUCAAAACCUCUCCCAACAAUUUUGGUCCUCUGACACCAGGUAGGUGAUACAAGGGAACCCACUUUUUACAGACACAAAGUAAAAGUGACUGUUGACUAAUCAUGAUUAUUAAUAAGCAUAAGACAGUCCAAGUAAAAUUCCGAUAGAGACUACAUUAUCAGGGAAGUGUAUAUAUGAUCACAAUUUAUCUGGGUCUUAGGUUUUUAAUAUGUACACACACACCCGUGUGCACACACACGUAUGUAAGUUGUUAACAAAGUAGGGAUUAACAGUAAAUAAAACAUCGUGAUUGUACAGUGAGGCCAAAGAAGUUACACAAAAACUAAGUGGAAUGAAACUGAGCUUUAUCAUUUUAAAAUUUGGUGGGUUUUUUUUUUGUUUGUUUUUUGUUUUUUGAGACGGAGUCUCGCUGUGUCCCCCAGGCUGGAGUGCAGUGGUGCGAUCUCGGCUUACUGCAAGCUCCGCCUCCCGGGUUUAGCCAUUCUCUUGCCUCAGCCUUCCGAGUAGCUGAGACUACAGGCACCCGCUACCACGCCCGGCUAAUUUUUUGUAUUUUUAGUAGAGACGGGGUUUCACCGUGUUAGCCAGGAUGGUCUCGAUCUCCUGACCUCAUGAUCCGCCCGUCUCGGCCUCCCAAAGUGCUGGGAUUACAGGCGUGAGGCACCACUCCGGCCUUAAAAAUUGUUUUUAAUUGCUGAACAAAUUUCUAAAAGAAACACGAGUAAAGCUGCCAACUGCAACGACACUUUCUUCGGAUUCUAUCAGAGGGAUUUUCAUUUGAGUUUCGCAGCACGUAUUUAGAAUCGCUGCAGUCUUUUACAACCAGAGAAAUGGCAUCUUCCAAGCUCACUCUCCACUGAAAAAAGAGUCAAGAUUUCCUCUCUGCAAAUAUCCUAAAAAUAUCAACCUUGUAGCAGGUAGGCAUCAGAAUAGCCAUUGUAAGGAGAGAGACUAAACCACUAGAUCACCUAAUAACUGCAUUUCCAGGAAAGCUUGAACAAAAGAGAAAACAAGACACAGAGUGACUUAUCUACCAAUGCCUCAUUACACAAAGAGCUUCCAGAAAUUCUACCAUGGAUUAUGAAUUUAUUUUGCCAAAUAGGCAGACUUCAUUACCUGGCCAGUUCUAACUGUGGUUUUUGGGACCUUCAGGAUUUAGCAUCACUUAGGAACACGAUGCCACGUUUUCCUGAAAUAAAGCUUACUGCUAAGUUUAACUACUUUAAACGAUAUUUAACAGCAAUCUCUCAGUCCCUUUGAUAGACAAUAAUUAAGCAUUUCCUGUGCUUCAGCAAUGUGGUGCCUGCUUUUGUAGUAGAUAAAUUCACAACCUCCUGCUGUCAGCAGUCAGGAUGUGGUAUGGGGUGUCUAGUCAGGUACAGAGUAUUUCACUUGUCUUAACCCCAUGGUGAGGGGAUGCAAACUCAGACUUAGUGCUCAAAUAUUUUCCAAAGCGACAGACACAGUUGGUAGGUUGUGAGAAUAACAUUUGAACCUAGGUCUUUUUACCCUCUAAGCUUGCAUGAAUUUCAAUUCUAAAAUGUAUUUUUACAUCUUUGCUGUCUAACAUAGAAGAAUCAGCAGAAUUUAACUUUGGAUUUUCUUUAUUGUGAUAACUCUAGAAGUAUCAUUGUUCUGAGAAGUAAAACUCUGAUUUCUUUUUUGUUGUUGUUCAAUAACCCAUGUCUGGCACGGCUCUUCAACGAGUCCUCUGCAGUGCUCAUGGGGCUUUUCUUGACUUAAUUAUAAUGGCAAUUACCUUCAGAAAGCAACGUGAAGCUUUCAGUAUUCUAGCAUUUGAUCUUCACAACAAGCAGACCCGCAAAACCUAUUGUCCUUUGCAUUUCCUCUAUUUAAAUUUUAUAGAAAACAUAAUCUUCUUGAUACCAUCAUUUUGGAGAUGAGAAAUGGCAACUACUUCAAAAUGAAUCUUCAACAGCAGUUGGAGGAGAUUUAAAGACAAUGCAUGCAUGAAGAUGGGCGUGAGAUGCCAGUAACUCCAUGAAUUAGAGUUUCACAUAAGCCAAACCCUCACAGAAUGUCUGCAAAAAAACCCAAGGAAGACGGGGAUAGUUUGACCUCAGCUGUCCACUGCUAGUGGAGAGUAUUUAAGAUAAUCAUUUUAGUAACUUUAGGAUACAAUUAUUUUUAGGAUCUUCCUGUGCUAUUGGCAGUGGGCUGUUUCUCAGUUUGCUGUUGAUUUUUGGUCAAUAGCUGUUACAUGUUACAUGAUCAGAUGUUAUAAUCAAUUAGUUUUAUAUUUUUUCUUUUAAUUGUUUUCCAUAUUGAAACCCACGUGUCAUAAUCUAAUAAUGCUGGAGCUGCAGAGUGUCUCUGAGUUUGAUUUUUGCAAAGACAUUGAUGCAUUUCAAGAAACUAAAGAUAAUAAUGGCAUGGAUAAUAAUUAUACAUUACAUUAAAAAGAAUUAACAGGCGUGGGGUGGUGACUCACGCUUGUAAUCCCAGUACUUUGGGAGGCUGAGGCAGGUGGACCACCUGAGGUCAGAAGUUUAAGACUAGCCUGGCCAACAUGGUGAAAACCUGUCUCUACUAAAUUACAAAAAUAAGCCGGGCAUAUUGGCUCAUGCCUGUAGUCCCAGCUACUUGGGAGGCUGAGAAACAAGAAUCAUGUGAACCUGGGAGGCAGAGGCUGCAGUGAGCCGAGAUCACACCACUGCACUCCAGCCUGGGUGACAGAGAGAGACUCUGUCUCAAAAUAAAUAAAUAAAUAAAUAAAUAAAUAAAUAAAUAAAAAUAAAAGGAAUUAACAAAGAAUUUCUUGAUGGUAAAAUCACCCGUGUGUUUAUAUCAGUGGCCUUUAUGGCUCUGUGUGUCUGUAUGGUGUGGAGAGUGUAUCCUGAGCUAUGUUCCUCUUAUUUUACCUAUAAGCACAUGAUCUGCUUUAUUAUUAUAUUUAAAUAUCCUUAUUGAAUUAUAGUAUGAUGUGCAUUCACAUACAUUUUAUGUAUUUCAAUAAAGACAAAGCGGAGGUUCAACUUAUCCCUUUGUAUGUAACUAACUGUCAUUGUCUGUUUGCCUCAUGGAUCUUAAAAGCCUUCAAGGUGAAGACCAAGCUAAAAUUAUUGAUGUAUCCCCAAUACUCAUAAUAACAUCCUGUCCAAAGUGAUAGCUUAAUAACAGUUUGAAGAGUAAAUUAAUAACUUCAAGAUUAUUUUAUGUAUUUGAAGCUUAGGCAAAGGAGAGUCAAUGAUGCAUUAUCAGAAGACCAUAAAGGAUAUCAAUCUUGCAGACCUGGGAAACCAAGAUAAAUAAAAUGUAUGCUUUUCUAUCAUUCAUAGGGGUGCCCUGUGUGGGAUGUUUUGGCCGUUUUUAAACCUGACAAAAUCUGGCAAAGUUUGCCUUCUCUUGAGGUAUUCCUGGCCCUCCACCCUCCUGGCUUCCUGUAGAUUGCACCCACCCUUGUCCCAGAAGAAUGAAUUACUCACUUCCAGAGAAAAGAUAAUCAAAGUGUGGUAUAGAAUGACGCUGGAUGAGAAUGUUUGUUUCUCCAUAAUUCUGUAACGUCUUCGAGAGUUUGGAAUUUUAAUACCCCACCCUAGUUCACUUCCUAGCACAUAGUUGGUAUUCAAAUAAUUUCUUAAAGCAUAGUGUUCAAUAAAUCUUUAGAUAAAAAAAUUGUGAAAAGUAAAAAGUAUAUUUUAAUAGGAGUAAAACUAGACAUUAUGAUAGAAUCUGAAUAAAAAGGGAAGCAUGACCUUUAGCCUGGGGAAGAAUAUCCUAUAAGAAUUCCAUAGAAUAUCUCUUAGUAAAUGUAGUAAAAACACCCAUUGAUCAAAAGAAAUUGGAUCUAUGGCUCAUAAUAACAUCUCAUUGAUUGAAAAGCACUUUGUAAUAGCUUUCUUCCAUGUGAUAUCUGUCAGGCAUUAACCUUUCAGCCUCCUGAUCAUGUGAAAGGAAUUCUUUGCUUAUGCCACUGCUCAUAUGACCCCAUCCAUGACAUUUCAUAAAUUGCAUCUAUUGAACAGAGAUUUUGGGUUUUCUGGAACUGAAAAAUCCAUUGCCAAAGCAAGGCAUUUCUCUAUGGAUUGUAUGAUAGAAUUUAGCCAUAUGCUCUAGAGACCUGGAGCUAUUUUAGCAAACUUGACUACCUCUGAAAAAUGACUACUUACAAAGAGAUAAGUAAGUUUCAAAUUUUAGAACAUGUAGGGUUCACAUAGAAAUACAUUUAGAAGCAAUCAUAUAUUUAUUUACUCUUUUAAGGACACAUUUAAAAACAUAAAGUGUUCCUCUUAUUUAAAGCAAUGAGUUAAAAUUAUACCAAAUUCUGUACAUAAAAAAGUGAAUAUGCUAAUAAAAUAGUCCACCAAGUUUUAUUAUUAACACUAGGAAAUCAAUCUGCAUGUCCUAACAAAUAAAUAACAAAAUAGAUGAGCAUUUUAACAAAAUAUAAUCUCUUGUAAUUCCAGCUUCAAGCUUGUGUUGCUUUCUUAAGCAGAAAU